This 482-nucleotide long non-coding RNA is filed under the name Salvia miltiorrhiza (redroot sage). RNAcentral describes it as "long non-coding RNA (SMIL_LNC008432)". The record is from RNAcentral. Lineage: Eukaryota; Viridiplantae; Streptophyta; Magnoliopsida; Lamiales; Lamiaceae.
GCUUUCGCUGAGGGCAAACCUCUGCCUCUUCCUAAAGCUGGGGGUGGAGGCACACUGGAGCUCUUUCCUCCAGGAGGUGGAGGAGCGGAUCGUGAACCAUGACCUAGAGGUGGAGGAGGUGCUGAACCUUGAAUCGUGGGCGGCGGAGGUGGAGCAGGAGCUGAACCACGUCCAGGAGGCGGUGGAGGUGGAGCAGGAGCUGAACCACGACUAGGAGGUGGUGGAGGUGGGGCAGGAGCUGAACCACGACCAAGAGGUGGUGGAGGUGGGGCAGGAGCUGAACCACGACCAGGAGGUGGUGGAGGUGGCACAGGGAGCUGAACCACGACCAGGAGGUGGUGGAGGUGGGGCUGGGGCUGAGGCCGAACCAUGGCCUGGAGGAGGUGGUGGAGGUGGGAUAGGUGCUAAACCACGACCUGCAUGAGGAGGUGGUGGUGGUGCAGAUGGAGUUUCUCCUGAACUACGAGAAGGCAGUUGUGGGG